This is a long non-coding RNA of Ctenopharyngodon idella (grass carp), 1254 nucleotides long. RefSeq lists it as uncharacterized. The transcript is spliced from 3 exons. NCBI's taxonomy places the organism in Eukaryota, Metazoa, Chordata, Actinopteri, Cypriniformes, Xenocyprididae. The record is from RefSeq and is a predicted model, not a curated record.
AUAGCAUGUUAAAUUUGUCACUUUUUGAGGGUGAGCAAAAACGCUCAGUUUUGUGUGUGUCCCUUUAAAUGCAAAUGAGCUGCUGUUCCUAAGCAGAGGGCGGGGUUUCAAGAACUCAUGUUAGCACAUAGUCCUGUUAGCAGCGCCGAUUAGACUCACUGAAAAUGUCAGGAACUGUUCAGCCUUUUAUGUUCAAACCGAAGUCGGACAAUGAUGGAGAGACUCAAGAAGAAGUGACAAUAUGUAGAAUGCAACAGGACAUUUCUGAAUGGAUUUCGGUGAUGAAUGCUUUGUAAACAAGUCUCAGUUCGGCGCUGGAUUUGCAGGUCACGGGUGGUAUAAAGUUGGCACUCCCAUGGAAAUGGAUGAGUGGACUAGGACAUGCAUCGUCUUGAUGUAAACAAGUAGAUGGAUGACUGCAAAAAGUAUCAGCUCAAGCUUCAAGCAAAGCAAUGUAAACAUCUGUGGCCAAGGCCUAGACAGGAAGUUACAGGGAGGUCACAGGAUAUCAGCUGACCCUUGCGGUAGAGGGCUGCUCAGACUUGACAGCUUUUUUUUCUAAAGUGAGAUAGGGGCAGAAUAAACAGGAAGACAUUUACAUCACUUCUGUGUCGUUUUCAAAUCAGGUGCAGUAAGCUUGCAUUGGAAUGGAAAGUGUGCCAGUUCGUAUGACCAUUAUCAGUGGAGUACAGUGGAGGAAAGCAGAUGAUACAGAACAUUUUGUGAAUGAACGCCUCGCAUGGAGUGGAAAUUGGACAUCCUGUGACGCACGUAACACCGCUAAAUUUCCCAAAUUAAUCAGAACGGAAAAUUAAAUGUCAGAUGCGUGCAGUUGAUUAUCUGAAUUAUUAUCUAAAGUACUGGUUUAAAAUAAUUUUGAUCCACGCAGCUGUAUUUUAUUACCUGAUAUUCACCACCACAGUAAUGUUAAUGGGUUGUAUUAUGUUUACAAGAGGCUGUAUGUUCUUGUGCUCUGAUUAUUUGUAAAUGUUGCAUGAGAUUGUCCGAUGUAGAUGAUUUCUACUUUGGGUUGUUGUUUAACAAUGAAAAACAUACCAAUAUUACUCUGCUGUGACAUAAAAGCAGAUGAACUAUGGAAGAUCUUUUGUCUGUACAAGCUGUGAAAUAGUUAUACAGUACAAUGGGAUGAAUAAAAUGGUAACGGUUUCAUUUGUUAACAUUAGUUAACUUCUUUAGGUAACAUGAACUACAACCCGAAUUCUGGAAAAGUUGAGACGUUUUUUAAAUUUGAAU